RNAcentral lists this ribosomal RNA (477 nucleotides) under uncultured bacterium. RNAcentral's name for it is "partial 16S ribosomal RNA". It matches the Rfam family "Bacterial small subunit ribosomal RNA", at positions 28 to 506 of the family's 1533-position model. The record is from RNAcentral.
GACGAACGCUGGUGGCGUGCUUAACACAUGCAAGUCGAACGGGAUUUAGUAAACAGAAGCCUCGGUGGAAGAUUACUAAUGAGAGUGGCGAACGGGUGAGUAACGCGUGAGCAACCUGCCUAUGACAGUGGGAUAGCCUCGGGAAACCGGGAUUAAUACCGCAUAAAAUCGUAGAAACACAUGUUUUAACGGUCAAAGAUUUAUCGGUCAUAGAUGGGCUCGCGUCUGAUUAGCUAGUUGGUGAGAUAACAGCCCACCAAGACGACGAUCAGUAGCCGGUCGGAGAGGAGGAACGGCCGCAUUGGAACUGGGACACGAUCCAAACUCCUACGGGAGGCAGCAGUGGGGAAUAUUGCACAAUGGGGGAAACCCUGAUGCAGCGACGCCGCGUGAACGAAGAAGGUAUUCGUAUCGUAAAGUUCUGGCCUAGGGGAAGAUAAUGACAGUACCAUAGAAGAAAGCUCCGGCUAAAUACGU